CCUUUUCCAGCUACACAAACGAGCUCGGGGUCAUGGCCCCUUCCUCCCUUCCUGGCAAACUGCUCAUGAAGGGCAUUUGUGACUGCAAUUAUUGUAAAGAAAUGUAUCUUCAAAGUAAAAAUUAUCUGUAGAAUAUGCUAAUGCUGUAAACAGUAAUCAGGAGUGGAAAUAAUUAUAUUCAGUAUAUAGUUAUUAAUAUUCAUUAUAUGGGCAUUCAUAUUACUCAAUAAGGGUUUUGGGGGUGUUGUAGUAAAUGUGGGUAUUUACAUAUUAACUUAGAUAAAAGAGUGUGAGGUGAUUAACUCAGUGCGUACUCGACAACUGAGUCGAAGGGAACAAGUACCGCAAUAAAGAAGCCCGUCUACUUAAUCAGCCCCGGAUCAGCCUGCUCAUUUCUUCUCUAACAUCUGGCGUCAUGAACAAGAUCCCAGGGGAGAGUUGUGCCUGAUCACCACGUCUCACCAUGGAUUCAAUGAACACCACCACCACCAAGCGACUGAAACGCUGAACAAUGGGGAGAGCCAGACUGAAAAGUAACCAGCCAGCCUGUGGGGCUUGGAAAUGUUUAUUUUGUUUUUCAGACACUUUAUGGGCAAGCUGGCGCCAGUGAAAGAACAACCCAGAACACCAUGGGUCUACUGUCGCAACAAAAAAUUGUGUUGUGUGUUUUGUGCUGUUUGUCUUAUUACCGUUAUUUUGGUGAAUAUUAUACAAGGUGGGUCAACCUGCCUGGAGAGCUCAGUCUACCCAUCGUGGGGGAAAGCAAGUGAUGUACCACAUUCAUUGAGAACACCAUCCAUUCCCAGUUCCUAAAUGGAGGGUGUGACGUUAUUGACAUGAACUGUGACCAUAUAGAUCAUUGUUGCAACCUGGGUCCUAUGGUUUCACCAAGUCUUGUACAGAGGAGGUCAAGUGGCGUGUCUAUGGAAAGGUUGUAGUUUGCUGCUUAUGAUUAUGCUGUCUGUAUGUGUGUUUCAUUUUUGUAUUUGAAGUUAUGAAUAUUGGCUAUGGUAUUGUAUCUCAAUGUAUUUGAUUCUAAGUAGCCUCAGUGAAGCAUUUGGUCACCUUCUUGAGAAAGGAUUAUUCUCAGUAAGUGUCCAAUCAAGAAACACUUAACUGACAAUGGACUUUGGGAGAUGCCAAUCCACAUCUGAGCUUUCCUGGGAAUGUUCAAACUAACAUGUAAACAACGGCGUCGGCCGCAAAAAGCUGAAU
Long non-coding RNA from Trachemys scripta elegans, 1215 nucleotides. RefSeq lists it as uncharacterized. The record is from RefSeq and is a predicted model, not a curated record. NCBI's taxonomy places the organism in Eukaryota, Metazoa, Chordata, Testudines, Emydidae. The transcript is spliced from 3 exons.